Molecule: long non-coding RNA, 1268 nt
Organism: Bolinopsis microptera
Lineage: Eukaryota; Metazoa; Ctenophora; Tentaculata; Lobata; Bolinopsidae
Exons: 3
Source: RefSeq, a predicted model, not a curated record
CAGGCUGUUUGGGAGGUGUGCACCGAUUCAAGGACUUUUUGUUGGAUAAACUGGUAUAUAUUCUGGGUCGACACUAGGCCUGGCCAUGAACAACUCCAUUAUUGUGUUGGGAUGGAACAUAACGGUAACCAUGGUAACGGAGACUUUCCUGCUUUCCAAGCAAUCAACGGCGCUUUGAGUUUAAACAACCCAGAGGAGGCCACAAACCGAGAGGAGGACGAGCUGCUGUGUCAGUUUAUAGCUCUCCGACUGAUACACAUAGCAGCACAGAUAGAUAGGAACCUAGAGAGAAGAGCGAGAAGGGAGCGGGCAGAUACCAGGGGUAAUGUGCUGGGGAGCCUGGUCUCGGCACUGGGGUGGGUUCUGGAGGUGAUCUUCAGAUACUAGUGGUCUCUACUGCUGGAGGUAGUCUUCAGAUACUAGUGGUCUCUACUGCUGGAGGUAACAUUUCACUAAUCCUUGUUUUCAUGUGUGUCAGGUGUGUGCGGGUUGUAACUCAGAAUCAGAUGAACUUUGGUUGCUAACAUUUGUUUAGAUAACCCAAGGGGCUGAAAAACGUUAACAAACUUAGUAACUUUCACAAUGAUUCCUAAAAAGAAGACAUUAUUUGAACUUUCGUUUGAUUUUUAUAAUAACAUAAUUCUAAUGACAAACAAACUCCAUUUCUUUGUUACUAUGGUUACAAACUCCAUUUCUCUUCAUUCACGACAACAUUUUAAUUCAAUCAAUCAAUCAUAAGAUCUUAGCGGUUAAUAUACUUAAAGUAUUAAAAAUGCACUUCGCAGAAUUAUUAUUUUACCGUAAACUGGACAUAUUCUCAUGAUCGUUUAUUUGAUGUACUAUUUACAAAUUACAUAUACCACGAUUGGCUACAUUAUUUUUGGUCAGCCUUUUUUCUUUUAAUAAUCACGACCGUGACUCGGUAACUAAUUUUUGGUUAUUACAAUUUACAAUUUUACAGUUCCUUAAUUUUCUUAGGAACUCAGUAUUUAAUUUAAGAGAUGCAUUUCGAGCAGGAAAAUUAAUCUAUUUUACAAUGAUUCCGUAUCGGAACGAUCAAAACUAAAUUAUUUCGUUAAUACUUUGGUAAUGAAUUCAGAAAAUUUUAUGAAUGUAUGAAAAUUUUUAAGGGUGUGGGUUGUGAUAAAUUAAAUUUGUUUAACAUUGAAUUAAAUUGAAAAAUGCUAGUGAUUGAUUAUUUUUCAGUUUUUCAUCGUACUGGUACACAUGUUGUAUGGUACUAAUGACGUGAUAUUUGUAGAACAGGA